Molecule: ribosomal RNA, 452 nt
Filed under: uncultured Aminicenantes bacterium
Lineage: Bacteria; Candidatus Aminicenantota
Description: bacterial SSU rRNA
Rfam family: Bacterial small subunit ribosomal RNA
Source: RNAcentral
AGCAUGUGGUUUAAUUCGACGCUACGCGAAGAACCUUACCUGGGCUUGAACUGCUGGUGGUAGAAGCCCGAAAGGGUAACGACCCGGAGCAAUCCGGGAGCCAGUAGAGGUGCUGCAUGGCUGUCGUCAGCUCGUGUCGUGAGAUGUUGGGUUAAGUCCCGCAACGAGCGCAACCCUUACCCUUAGUUGCCAGCGGGUAAUGCCGGGCACUCUAAGGGGACCGCCCGGAUAACGGGGAGGAAGCGGGGAUGACGUCAAGUCAGCAUGGCCCUUAUGUCCAGGGCUACACACGUGCUACAAUGGGCGAUACAGAGGGAAGCAAGGCCGCAAGGUAGAGCUAAUCCCUAAAAGUCGUCCUCAGUUCGGAUUGCAGGCUGCAACUCGCCUGCAUGAAGUCGGAAUCGCUAGUAAUCGCGGAUCAGCUACGCCGCGGUGAAUACGGUUCCGGGCUU